Long non-coding RNA from Amaranthus tricolor (Joseph's coat), 961 nucleotides. RefSeq lists it as uncharacterized. Lineage: Eukaryota; Viridiplantae; Streptophyta; Magnoliopsida; Caryophyllales; Amaranthaceae. The transcript is spliced from 2 exons. The record is from RefSeq and is a predicted model, not a curated record.
CCAAUACUCACCAAACACAACACCCCUUCCUUCUUAUAAUUGUGUAAUGUAAGAACGAUACCCAUUAUCAUUCCAUCACUUCUAAAACAAAAUUCUGAGAUUAUAUCUUGUCCAGGUGAAUAAGCAAACAAAAGUUCUGGAUUUUAUCCUCUUCAAGUGAACAAGCAAAUAAAAUUUCUAAAAUUGCACCUGCGUUUUCUCAUAAAUUCAGAAUUCAUCAAGAGAUUUAGUGGUAUCUCCUCACAAUAGAAACCCCCUAUUUCGAAGAAAGCUUCUUGAAGUUCAAUUUUAAUCUCUACAAUUUAUAUGGAGUAUGGAGCUUAAUGGAAGUUCACCUUAAAUUGUUUUAGAUGUUGUUGAAUUAAAAGAGCCCAUGUAGAUAGUAUAGUGUCUUCUUCAUCAUCAUCCUCCCUGUUCUUUGUGUAGAAAAGCAUGCUUGGAUGAUCCUUUUGAAACGAUUUUAUGCAUAUCUAAGCAUUUACUCAUCGUCUUGGGUGAAGGUGACUAUCUUUUUCCUCCAAUCCUAGGUUCUUACUAUGGGGUAAAACCUUUCUAGAAAAGGUCUUAAUUUCAUCCAUGUGUAAGAGAGUCGGGUUCCAAGCACUUCUACCAAUUUUUGGCGUGGCUCACUAUGCUGACCUAAAACAAGUGCAUUUUAACAUAAUCUCUAAUAUCUUGGCAAGGUGGGUUAAGAUCACAUAUAUUGUGAACUUUUCCUGGUACAAAAGAGGAGAUUCGUUCUUGAAGCCAGAGAGCACUUCUAACUUUACCAUCCGAGUGUAUUACGAAUGAAUCUGGUAGUUAGUGUUCGUGGUUAGAAAAUGGAUUUCUCCCUAACUUGUAUGGUUCCCUGAUGUACCAAAUUGGUAUAUUAGCCAUUUUGUCCUUGUUUUUGGGCUCACUAAUAGAGGUAGAUCCUCUUGUGUGUCUGGAGAAGUAUUAAUAUCCUCUUUGUUCUCUA